This 421-nucleotide ribosomal RNA is filed under the name uncultured bacterium. RNAcentral describes it as "partial 16S ribosomal RNA". It matches the Rfam family "Bacterial small subunit ribosomal RNA", at positions 360 to 773 of the family's 1533-position model. The record is from RNAcentral.
AAUAGUGGUCAAUGGGGGCAACGCUGAUCCAGCCAUGCCGCGUGUGUGACGAAGGUCUUCGGAUUGUUAAGCACUUUAAGGUGGGAGGAUGGGCUGUAGGCUAAUAUCCCGACGCAUUGACGGUACCAACAGAAUAAGUACCGGCUAACUCUGUGCUUGCAGCCGCGGAAAUACAGAGGGUGCAAGCAUUAAUCGGAAUUACUGGGAGUCAAGCGCGCGUAGGUGGUUCAGUAAGAUGGGUGUGAAAUCCCCGGGCUUAACCUGGGAACUGCUUUCAUAACUGCUGAGCUAGAGUACGGUAGAGGGUAGUGGAAUUUCCUGUGUAGCGGUGAAAUGCGUAGGUAUAGGAAGGAACACCAGUGGCGAAGGCGACUACCUGGACUGAUACUGACACUGAGGUGCGAAAGCGUGGGGAGCAAAC